Pelobates cultripes (western spadefoot toad) is the source of this 206-nucleotide non-coding RNA. The record is from the annotation of a GenBank genome assembly. Lineage: Eukaryota; Metazoa; Chordata; Amphibia; Anura; Pelobatidae.
CGAAUUCUGAUAAAUAAGGGUAUGAAAUAAAUAGGAAAAUACACAACAGGGAAAGAGAGUGCUAAAAGGCAGCACUGAAGCCAGAGGACGACUAGGUGAGCUGGGCGGUGAUGGACAGACUGCAGGACAUGGAGGAAUCCUCAGACUCUGACCCUGUCUGUGGAGAAAUCCCAGCCACCAGAGUUGAAUUGACUGUAUCAUGCAGG